Molecule: long non-coding RNA, 2062 nt
Filed under: Pan troglodytes (chimpanzee)
Lineage: Eukaryota; Metazoa; Chordata; Mammalia; Primates; Hominidae
Description: lincRNA
Source: RNAcentral
GAUGGUUUCAGCUAGAUAAGACUGGAAGACAGCAAGGACUUGGAAAUGUACUCACAGACCCUCCUACCUGUGAUAACUGACUUCAGAGCACACCUUCAUUCCCACCUUUCUAUAUUUUAACAUGGGACUGAGACUGGGACAGAGGUUAACAAGGCAUCUCAAGCCAAUCAAGAACUAGAUGCACAUAACUGCAUUUGAUGGGGAAGUAAAAUUUACUACAAAUAAAAAAAAAAGUGUAUAUACGUUCACCAAGUAGCUAUAAUUCUAGGGUCUUAUUUUUAAGGAAAAAAAAUGCAUUAAAGGUAGAAAAGGAGAAACAUAGGUGGAGGGGGAGGAAGAAAGCUGGAGAGGAAGGCAUUUUGAACAUCUAUCACUAUUAUAUUAGGAACUUCACAUGAACCAUCUCAUUUACCUCUCACAAAAUCUAUGAGAUUGAGACAAUGCUGCUUAUUAUGGCAUCGUUAAUCAUAGUGAAAAAUUGAAAACAGCCUUCUUGUAUACUGCUAAGAAAACUGGGGCCUUAAGUGGGUGCAAAUGUUUGUCUAAACCAAUACAUUGACUGCUCUACAAGAAAAUGCUGGUGUGGUCCUUCAGAUAUUCUGCCAGGGUUCUCCACUGAGUGAACUCAACCAGAAGCCAAAGGACAUGGAAACCCAUUGAUGUCCCUCCCAGGACAAGGUGGAUGAACAGAAAUUGAUCUGAAAGGACAAAUGGAAGAAAUACAAUGCAAUGUUGAUGAAAUUUCAUCCUCUGCCCCUCUUCCCUCCAUCUCUCUCACCUCUUGUUCGUAGAAAUGUUCCACCCCAAAGCACCAAUGGUACCUGAACCACGUCAGUCCCUGGUGGACACUAUUUUUCAUACACACCUUGAGGAAUGUCCUGGAGGAAUCGCUUGGCAAUCAUUAGACGAGAAAUGCUCAUGACUAGAAGAGACCAAAGGAUGCUACCAAAAUCAGUCCCUGUCUUCAAGCAAAAGUGCUCACUGCAUUUCAGACCUUCUCGGAGGAAGAGUCCAGCCUCACCUAAGACACUCACCUGCACAAUGAAUGACACGUGACAUUGUCAUGGCAGCUUUUGUCCUGACCUAGCCUUAGGUAGGACUGACAAAUCCACUGCGUGCUCACUAUUGGGUCAUUUGACAUUUGGAAUCGGUGACCUGACAACACUGCCGUACAGAAAGGCUAAUGGAAACAGAGGCUGCAGCCACAGCCCAGGAAGGGUGGUCUUUCGCACACAUGGGGCAGCCUCUGCCACAACUUUUUCUUCCAAGGAAAUCAACACAAAUGAAAACUGGCUGAUGCUCUGGUCCACCAGAGGCUGAAGAAGAAAACCGCAAAAUGGAGACUGCCCAAUUCUAAUUUAAUUCAGAAGAACAAACAGGGCAUCACUCAGCGGACUUCAAAUCCCCAGUCAGAAGAUUUUGCCCGUGGAGCAAAUCAUUUCAUGGGCCAUCUACCCCACCUACUCCCUCCUGCCACAGCAAGGAGGUGAAAAUAGCUCAUGAAGCCAUGGGGAGUUCGAAGUGGAACUGUGAAGUUUCCCAAGCUCCAUGCAGGUCACUGAAGUCCACCCUGCAAACAACAGUCCUUCACCUUCUGAAGACCUGUCACCUAUGAAGCAGCAAGGAAGGAAUUUCUUGGCUCUGCUUCCUGGCAGUCAUUACCUGUGAUCUUCUAUCCCGAUUGGUUGACCCUAGCAACUGAGCCCCAUGAAAUAUGUAUUUAGUGGACUGAAUGAAUUGGACAAUUGAAUCAGAAAAAGCAACAAGAACUCCCAAGGUUAAAACAAGUCCAGGACUACACUCCUCUCUUCCUGCCUCUCCACAUUGAUCUGCAGCUUCUAGAGAAGACUGAGCAAAGAGAUGCUGGUGUCUUUGACUUCAGGGAAGAGCAAUGUCAAGGAGAGAGGCCAGCAGAUUUUUUUAAAUCUCUAUUCACCUGUCACUGUCCAGCCUGCCAUUGUGGUGGAUGAAGACAACAUUUAGGGAUUCUAGUGCUAGUAGGAUACAAACAACAUUUCUAUUUUGUUAUUAAGUAAAUAAAUACCACUCUUUAUCAACCUCC